RNAcentral lists this ribosomal RNA (567 nucleotides) under uncultured bacterium. Its description in RNAcentral is "partial 16S ribosomal RNA". It matches the Rfam family "Bacterial small subunit ribosomal RNA", at positions 355 to 912 of the family's 1533-position model. The record is from RNAcentral.
UGGGGAAUUUUGGACAAUGGGCGAAAGCCUGAUCCAGCAAUGCCGCGUGUGUGAAGAAGGCCUUCGGGUUGUAAAGCACUUUUGUCCGGAAAGAAAUCCUUGGCUCUAAUACAGUCGGGGGAUGACGGUACCGGAAGAAUAAGCACCGGCUAACUACGUGCCAGCAGCCGCGGUAAUACGUAGGGUGCAAGCGUUAAUCGGAAUUACUGGGCGUAAAGCGUGCGCAGGCGGUUUGCUAAGACCGAUGUGAAAUCCCCGGGCUCAACCUGGGAACUGCAUUGGUGACUGGCAGGCUAGAGUAUGGCAGAGGGGGGUAGAAUUCCACGUGUAGCAGUGAAAUGCGUAGAGAUGUGGAGGAAUACCGAUGGCGAAGGCAGCCCCCUGGGCCAAUACUGACGCUCAUGCACGAAAGCGUGGGGGAGCAAACAGGAUUAGAUACCCCUGGUAGUCCACGCCCUAAACGAUGUCAACUAGUUGUUGGGGAUUCAUUUCCUUAGUAACGUAGCUAACGCGUGAAGUUGACCGCCUGGGGGAGUACGGUCGCAAGAUUAAAACUCAAAGGAAUUG